UGAAGAAUUUCUCUUCCAACAGGGGCA
Molecule: non-coding RNA, 27 nt
Filed under: Mus musculus (house mouse)
Lineage: Eukaryota; Metazoa; Chordata; Mammalia; Rodentia; Muridae
Source: RNAcentral